This 253-nucleotide ribosomal RNA is filed under the name uncultured bacterium. Its description in RNAcentral is "partial 16S ribosomal RNA". It matches the Rfam family "Bacterial small subunit ribosomal RNA", at positions 524 to 776 of the family's 1533-position model. The record is from RNAcentral.
UACGUAGGGUGCGAGCGUUAAUCGGAAUUACUGGGCGUAAAGCGUGCGCAGGCGGUUUUGUAAGCCAGAUGUGAAAUCCCCGGGCUCAACCUGGGAAUGGCAUUUGGAACUGCAAGACUAGAGUAUGGCAGAGGAGACUAGAAUUUCUGGUGUAGCAGUGAAAUGCGUAGAUAUCAGAAGGAAUACCGAUGACGAAGGCAGGUCUCUGGGUCAAUACUGACGCUCAUGCACGAAAGCUAGGGUAGCAAAUGGG